Phacochoerus africanus (Common warthog) is the source of this 536-nucleotide long non-coding RNA. RefSeq lists it as uncharacterized. The transcript is spliced from 4 exons. The record is from RefSeq and is a predicted model, not a curated record. Lineage: Eukaryota; Metazoa; Chordata; Mammalia; Artiodactyla; Suidae.
CCUCGUCCCAGGCCGGGCGGGCAGGAGCUGGGGAUGGGGGACCGUCGGAGCGGCAGGGGACUCACCUGCAGCAGCACCGCCAGCAGGAAGCACAGAAAUUACCAGUCCCUCAAAUGUUCUUAGAACCAGCUUUUCCACCCUACUGGUUCCUUCAUCAAUUAAAAUAAAAUCAACAAGGGUUCAUUCUAUAUUGUGUUAAUUUACAUUAUCUUGGAACAUACAUACUAAAAGCAGUUGGUGAUUGUGCGGACAGCAAAUGCAACCUUGGAGUGUCAGAAAUGAGGUCUACGGGUUGAUAGAGGCCAGGUGUGCAGUACUGAGGAGCUUCAACUUUUUCCUACAGCGUCCCGGUGACCGGGUUGCCCUUGCGUCACCAUCUUCUUCCCGAGGUGGAGACAUGAGACAUGCCCGUUGAGGAUAAAAUGAAGAACUAAAGUAAGUGAAAGAUAAUGAGAUUUUAGGAGCGCCAUGUCUAUGGCAUAAAAUAAAUUAAGAUAACUGAUCAUGAAGGUGUUUGAAUAAAGAUAUUUGAGUCA